CCAAUAGCGUAUAUUAAAGUUGUUGCAGUUAAAAAGCUCGUAGUUGAAUUUCGGGGUUAGUAGGUUGGUCAUGCCUCUGGUAUGUACUGAUCUCACUGAUUCCUCCCUCUUGACGAACUGUAAUGUCAUUAAUUUGGUGUUGCAGGAAAUCAGGACUGUUACUUUGAAAAAAUUAGAGUGUUUAAAGCAGGCUAAGGCUUGAAUACAUUAGCAUGGAAUAAUGAAAUAGGACGUUUGAUCCUAUUUUGUUGGCUUCUAGGAUUGACGUAAUGAUUAAUAGGGAUAGUUGGGGGCAUUAGUAUUCAAUUGUCAGAGGUGAAAUUCUUGGAUUUAUUGAAGACUAACUACUGCGAAAGCAUUUGCCAAGGAUGUUUUCAUUAAUCAAGAACGAAAGUUAGGGGAUCGAAGACGAUCAGAUACCGUCGUAGUCUUAACCAUAAACUAUGCCGACUAGGGAUCGGAUGAUGUUAAUUUUUUAAUGACUCAUUCGGCGCCUUACG
RNAcentral lists this ribosomal RNA (500 nucleotides) under uncultured Glomeromycotina. RNAcentral's name for it is "partial small subunit ribosomal RNA". It matches the Rfam family "Eukaryotic small subunit ribosomal RNA", at positions 591 to 1092 of the family's 1831-position model. Lineage: Eukaryota; Fungi; Glomeromycota. The record is from RNAcentral.